Molecule: ribosomal RNA, 1788 nt
Filed under: Sphaerozoum punctatum
Lineage: Eukaryota; Polycystinea; Collodaria; Sphaerozoidae
Description: SSU rRNA
Rfam family: Eukaryotic small subunit ribosomal RNA
Source: RNAcentral
AACCUGGUUGACCCUGCCAGUAGUCAUACACUUGUCUUAAAGAUUAAGCCAUGCAUGUCUCAAUGCUUUGUUUAUUUUAACAUUAGAUUGCAAAUGGCUCAUUAUAACAGUUAUUAUAUUAUUGAGAUUAUUUUAUAGGUGGAUACUUAUGAGAAAAUUAUUAAAAAUAUAUGAUUUUAAAAUAUUUAUUUAUUUGGCAUUUAUUUGCUUUCAAACCAAAAUGUUUUAUCAUUAUGGAUGAUUCAUAGUAAUGUUUGGAGAACGCUUCGAUAUGCGGCAGAUCUUCACGGUUUCUGACCUAUCAGUUAGUCAGUAGUGUACUGGACUACUGAAGCGUUGACGGGUAACAGAGAAUUAGGGUUCUGUUCCGGAGAAGGAGCCUGAGAAACAGCUACUAUAUCUAAGGAACGCAGCAGGCGCGUAAAUUACCCAAUUCUGAUAAAGAGAGGUAGUGAUAAGAAAUCACAAUAUUUUACCUUAGGGUUAAGUAAUUGAAUUGAGAACACAGUAGCCAUAUUACCAAUAAACUAUUGGAGGGCAAGUCUGGUGCCAGCAGCUGCGGUAAUUCCAGCUCCAAUGGUGUAUGCUAAUAUUGUUGCAGUUAAAAAGCUCGUAGUCGAAUUUUUAAGAAAAUCAAUUUUAUGUGAUCCUAAUGAACAACAAAAAAAUAUGAUUUAUCUUAUUUUAUGCUUAUACACCUUUGAAAUUCAUUUUUUGAUGGUGGACUGAUUUUGUGUUUACUUUGAGAAAAUUAGAGUGUUCAAAACAGCCUUUGCGGAUUUAUAUUAAAGCAUGGAAUGAUAAAUAAUGACAUCGGCUAAUUUUUGUUGGGAUGAGGAGCUGAGGUAAUGAUUUAUAGAGUCAGUCGGAGGUAUUAGUAUUUUAUCGUUAGAAGUGAAACUCUCGGAUCGUUUAAAGACUAACAACUGCAAAAGCAUUUACCUAGAAUAUUCUCCUUGAUCAAGAACGUAAGUUGAGGGAUCGAAGACGAUCAGAUACCGUCGUAGUCUCAACUGUAAACUAUACCGGCUAGGGGUUAGCAAAUGUUUAUAUGCCAUUGUUAGAACCUUUGGAGAAAUCACAGCGUUUGGGUUCCGGGGGAAGUAUGGUUGCAAGGCUAAAACUUAAAGGAAUUGACGGAAGGGCACCACAAGAUGUGGAUUCUGUGGCUUAAUUUGACUCAACACUGGAAAACUUAUCAGGUCCAGACAUAGGUAGGAUUGACAGAUUGAUAGUUUUUUCUUGAUUCUAUGGGUGGUGGUGCAUGGCCGUUCUUAGUUGGUGAAGUGAUUUGUCUGGUUAAUUCCGUUAACGAACGAGACUUCCACAUGAUAAAUGGCACAAUUUUUACAUAGAAUCAUUGCUUCUUAUAGGGACUGGCUUUGCAUAAAUUGCUGGACGAUGGUAGCAAUAACAGGUCUGUGAUGCCCUUAGAUGUUCUGGGUAGCGCACGGGCUACAAUAGAAGAGUAAAGAAGUUUGGGUAACAUAGCUCAAAAAGGGCCGUGAAAUCUUAAAACUGUUCUAUAUAUGGAAUUACGCUUUGAAAUUAUACGGUAUAAACCAGGAAUACCUAGUAAGUGUAUGUCACUAACGCGUACUGAAUACGUCCCUGCCCUUUGUACACACCGCCCGUCGCUCCUACCGAUUGAAUGAGUUGGUGAGUUGAUUGGAGCGACGGCUAUCUUGCAAAAAGAUUAUUGUGAUUUUUUAAAAUUUACAAACUAGAUUAUUUAGAGGAAGGAGAAGUCGUAACAAGGUUUCCGUAGGUGAACCUNCAGAAGGNUCA